CAAAUUCCCCUAAAGAACAGGUCGGGUCAUCGCGGAAAUAGCACCGGGUGGUCUCUGAGGAAGGAGGGGCGGCUAUGCCGGUAAGGGGUAGCGAAGGGUGGGUGAGGGUGUGCCGGUGGCGCUGGUGGUGAUAGGGCUAGAGGCCGGUGGCGGUGGCGGUGGCUGUGGUACAGCAGGUGGUGCCGUCCCCGGCGGGAGGAGGAGGCGGGGUGAAGGCGGUGCUGCUUGGGAGAGGAGGCGGAACAGUCGGGGACGGGGUUUAGGGUGGAGGAGGCGGAGGUGAGCGGCGCGGCGGCGGAGGGGCAGGAGGCGGAGAGGGAGUGCGGGGGCCGGUGGCGGCCGUCGUUAAGUCGCGGAAGCGGAAGGGGAGGCGGGGGCAGGCGGUGCGGGGGCGGAGGAGACAAGAGGUUGACCUGGGGCGGCGCGCGCUAGACCGCCCCCGAGAGCCGCGACGAGGAGCGUCCCGUCCAGAAGGUGGCGCAGGAGUGCCCUGCGCAGGUGGCGGCGUUGGAGGAGCGGGUCGAGGCGGCGCACCCGGGGCCCUCGCGCCCCCAGAGCGAGGAGUGGCGGCGGAAGCAGCCGUACCGGAAGUGGUAGGUCAAGCACGCGCUCAAGUGGGCGGAGCCAGAGGUGGCGAGGCAACCACCGCAGGAACGGGAGCGCGAGCGGGCGCUCGAGUGGGGCCAGCAGUGGCGACAGCAGCGACGGCCGGCUCAACCGAGGCGGAAACGGCGGCUCGAGCCGUGGUACGUCCACAGGCUCGUCUGGCUGUGGGAGGCGCAGGAGCCGAGUGUCGGGUAGCUGAUGGAGCACCAGGGAGCACAGGAGCGAACGCACGAACGCGAGGGACAGGAGUGCGAGUAGUCGAAGCGGGAGCCCGAGCGGAGGAGCCGCAAGAACCGGCUGCGGCAGAAACCACAUUCGUGGUCGUAGUAAGACCUCAGUCGUGCGUUCCGCGACGCAGGCACCCUGAACUAGUCGCGGAACUAUUUUAGAGUCCACAAGCCACGGUAAUAGCGCCACCACUCGACACGUACCCCACACUGUUGGGUGCCUCCUCGGUUCCCGCAACCGCUCAGGUGUUGCAGACGUCACCAGUAAAGGAAUCAACCCUAAAAGUAACGUCUGAAGCGGGAAAGCACGGACAAGAAGGUCCGACCACGACCACUAAGCGACUUCGUGCGUUACCCAAUUCCGUUCUGGUGUCUCCUCUUUUAAAACGCAGCAUCGUCGUAUUAAAUCCAGACAUGUAACUGGUUUCACAUCAUCACCUAAGUUCCUCCCGUCGUAACGUUGUAGUCGGUGCGAGGUCCACUUACUCAAUAAAAACAACACUAUAGGAAACCUUCAUUUGAUAAUACGGAAUACGUGUAAGACGUUAAAAAACGAGUUAACAAACGUAGACUAAACACAUAUCAGAAUGGUGGUGAACUUUUUUUCUUUAUUUUGAUGAACACAGGUUCAACGUGAACGAUUGUCUCUACAUUUCGUAAAAUUCUAGUCGAGUUCGCAAGUUCGCCGUGACAUUUUAUGUUUACAAAAAUCACUCUAUACCACGACACUCCUUUGAUGUCACUUAACCACUAGUCAUAACAACUAGUUAACGUUGCAACAUGAGGUCCUAUAGUGUAUGUAAUCCGGAAUAAUUCUGAUCACCGUUAAGAAAAGCUACGAAAUCAGUAGGAACCUACUCUUCUUGACGUCUUAAAAACAGCUGUAUAGACCCUUAUACACUCAACCUGCUAUCAGAAACAGUUCCGUUUGUUGCCGAGGAAACCGAAGGUCAUGCUCGACGUUCCUCAAGUUUUCCACUCUAUAUGUACCGUUACGAAUCUUUAUAUGAUCAACUAUUAUCUGGUGCUUAAACUCAUGGAACACAACCUUGUGAACCGUGUACGUGUUCUAACUAUCAUUUACGUAUGGAAUACUAGAACGUCACAGAGUUAACACACGCGUUUCUAGUGAGAAUGUGGAAACUAAACGGACUCGAAGUGGAACUACUGUUUGGACAGUGGUGAGACCGUUUUCAUCUAUUUGAAUAACUCAAAAGAACAUACUAUACCAUAUAGACUGCAUGUACUUAGACUGAUUCUUUUAGUACACAACCACUUGAUAUAAUACCAUAGAGAUAGCGUACUGGUCGUACAGAUAGAAUUAACUAUUUGAACUAGAAACAUAGAAUAUAAACAAUUUAGGAAUUCCUUAAAGUAAAGUCAAAGUCGUGGUCACCAGG
RNAcentral lists this ribosomal RNA (2233 nucleotides) under Triticum aestivum (bread wheat). RNAcentral's name for it is "partial small subunit ribosomal RNA". The record is from RNAcentral. Lineage: Eukaryota; Viridiplantae; Streptophyta; Magnoliopsida; Poales; Poaceae.